CAGCACAUUCUGUACAUAUGAGGGGCUGCAACAAGUAAAACUGAAACUGACAGCAAAACCGAUCUGAAUCAAUCUGAACAACUGAUCCCAGAAUAUCACAGAGAGGAGAGAAGUAAGACACCAAGGAUGGCUUGCAUCGUGGAGAGUUGUGCCUGUGCAGUUACAGAAGCCGGCGCUGAAGUGGCAAUGCAGGGUGUGACUAUAUCCCCUUUUUGUGGUGUGCUGAUUUUUGCUGGGGUAGUGGGAGUAGCAGUGGGAGUGGCCGUGUACAAGCACCUGGACAACAAAGAGAAACAAAAGGGAAGCUGAUAGAAGAGCUCAUUCCUCUAAAAUUAACUGCCAAAGCAUCAAUGUAAUCAUGACUCCAUAAUAAAAACAAACUUGGCAGACGAACUGUGAUUUUGAAAUUAAUUUUUGUAUUGACAUUCACAUUUAUUCCUACUGCUCACAGAUGACACUGCCGUUUUUCAAAGCAUAGUUUUAGCUUCAGUUACCUCAGGCUGACACACAGCAUUCAGUAACUGUAAAAAACUUAUGGAGGUGAAGAUAUUUUAUGAUUUAAUGAUUUAAUGGCUGCUUUAAGUUGCUCCACUCCCAUGCUCCAUGUUCUCUGAGAUAGCACCAUCUGAGGGAAAUAAGAAAAGUCAUUUGUCUUAUGACACAGAACGUUUAAAACCUGGCUGCAGUGGAGUUACCCAUCCUUCUUCUACACUUGGCCUUAAUCUAUUCCACCUUUUUGUCAUAGCCAUUCACUUUCCCCUGCCUUGCAGCAAUAAUGCUUCCUAACAUAAAAAAAAAAGUUUUUAAAAGGAAAGAAAACAGCAGAAUGUCAAUCUCUCUUUUCCUUUUGAUUCAAAAAUAAAUAUUUUUCCUUGUAAUAUAGCAGUAGGCCUAUUUAAAAUGCAAGGACAGCCAUUUCUUAAUUCACCAACCAUUAUUGUUUGAGGGCACAUGGUUAAGAAUAUCGAUCUUGAUGCAAACCAUCUUUUGAUAGUCGUCUAAAAAAAACACAGGGUAGAAGAGGCAGAACCAAAAUAAAUGUGACAUAUGUUCAGUUUUAGAUUUACAGAAACAACAGUUUCCAUCCAUCUUUUUUUUUUGUCGGCAGUAUUUUGCAUCAAGUUUUUAAGCGCACUCUUAACAUGCAGCCUGAGUAUAAUGUAGCACCAUGUGAUUUUGCCAAGUAUGCUCCUGGAUCAACACCCCACAUUGCGUUUACCUGUGCUUCUUUCAAAAAUCCUAGUUUUCCAAAUUGAAGUUAGUAAAGUUAAAACAAACAAACAAACAAAAAAAAACCACUCUGAACAAAAGCCUUUUCAGCUACGGCAGGGUUAGCGACUUAGCUUGCUAAACUACGUUGGCUAUGCUAAUGAGUAAACUUGCCAAUAGAUGAGAAUAUUGGCGAGCUAGCUUGCUAACUAUGUAUUUAAGCUAACAAGUAUGCUUGGCAAAAGGCUAGAAUGUUAGCGAGCUAGCUUACUAACUAGGUAGUUAUGCUAACAUGUAAGCUUGCCAAUAGAUGUUAGCGAGCUAGCUUGCUAGCUAGGUAGUUAAGCUAACAAGUAAGCUUGCCAAUAGGCUAAAAUGUUAAGCUGUUCACUAACAAAGAGCUGCAAAUUCCUGCAAUUAACACAUUUAUAAUUUUUUUGUUUAAUUUUAUUGAGAAUUUUGUUCAAUUUUAUUAUCUUAAAUUUGUAAAACUAGCUCUGAAGGAGCACAAAGGAAUUUUGAACAAAGCACAGGAGCAGCACACUGAUGAUGUCAGAGGGCUGUGAUUGGUUGGUUGGUUGUAAUGUUGUUCCUGGAAUGUGAUUUGGGAUGUUGAUCCAGGAGCAUGUCCUACCUAGCAAAAUCACAUUGUGCGUAUAGCGUAGUUUAGUUUUAGAGGGCUUAUCAGUGAUAUAAAUGCAUACCCCCGAACCAGUCUGAUGACUCUGGUCACAUUUAGAUUAUCAUUACACUCCUUUUAGUUAUGUAAAAUAAACUUCUAUUUGUUGCAACUCAUGUGUAGUCUCCCCACCUCUGUCCCGGCUUGAGCCAGGUUGUGACACCAUUGCACAUAACAUUGUGACUUAAAAUGGCAGCCGAACAGAAAGAGUGGAAACACAGAACAUCCUGAUCCUGUACAUGUGUGAAGUGCAGUAAAAUGCACACCAUCUGUGGUUUUACAGUGCCCCGACAUUUGCAACAUAUUUGAAUCUCAUGUUGCCCGUUGAGUAUAUCAACAACAUCAAAAAACAGGCUCAACGGACUGAGAUGCCCAUCUAGUUGGUUAAAUAGUUUAUUUGUGGCCAAAACUAAAUAUUACUGUGGAAUACAACAUUUUCUGAUGACAAGCUGUGGCCCAUCCAAUAAAUGUCCAAUAAAUCUGAAAUCUUUGGUUAGUUGAGUUUUUUAUUGACUAAAGGAAUCAACAAAGUAAGAAAAUAAACAACUGCUUGUUCCUACUUUAAUGCAGACUAGAAUAGCAGGAAGGGUGGAACCACAGCACUUAGGCAUGAGAGGCUGAAACUGAAACCAACAACAUAACUUCACAUUGCAUCUGAGUGAUACAGCUAAUCCGAGAACAUCACUGAGACAAGAAAAAUAAUAUAACGAGGAUGGGCAUUGCAGUGAGUGUGGAAGCUAUAACUUGUGGUGCCUUGUCGGUCAGUGGCUUGACUAUAUCCACCGCUGGUUUCGUGAUUUUUGGAGUUGUGGCAGUGGCAGCAAUGGUAGCAGGAGUGUUUGUGUACAAGCACAUGCGCAAAGAAAAGUCGCACUGACAGAAGAGAUCAUUCCUCUCAAAGUACCUGCAUGGCGCUGCACAGUGGCAACGGGUGCCUGUGAUACAUCAGUUUGUUUGUGAAUUAUGUUGCCCAUAGUCGAAGCCUGUGGAGUGCACUGCUGUUGACCAUCUGACUUUAAAUGUAGUGUAUUUUGUUGUACCAAGUGUAUCUGGAAUCAGCAAUAAAAACAAAAUGCAGACCUA
Long non-coding RNA from Epinephelus fuscoguttatus (brown-marbled grouper), 2971 nucleotides. RefSeq lists it as uncharacterized. Lineage: Eukaryota; Metazoa; Chordata; Actinopteri; Perciformes; Serranidae. The transcript has 5 exons. The record is from RefSeq and is a predicted model, not a curated record.